CGUGUCCUGCUAGGUGUCGUGUCCUGCUAGGUGUCGUGUCCUGCUUGGUGUCGUGUCCUGCUAGGUGUCGUGUCCUGCUAGGUGUCGUGUCCUGCUUGGUGUCGUGUCCUGCUUGGUGUCGUGUCCUGCUAGGCGUCGUGUCCUGCUAGGCGUCGUGUCCUGCUAGGUGUCGUGUCCUGCUAGGCGUCGUGUCCUGCUAGGUGUCCUGCUAGGUGUCGUGUCCUGCUAGGUGUCGUGUCCUGCUAGGUGUCGUGUCCUGCUAGGUGUCGUGUCCUGCUUGGUGUCGUGUCCUGCUAGGUGUCGUGUCCUGCUUGGUGUCGUGUCCUGCUAGGCGUCGUGUCCUGCUAGGUGUCGUGUCCUGCUUGGUGUCGUGUCCUGCUUGGUAUCGUGUCCUGCUAGGUGUCGUGUCCUGCUAGGUGUCGUGUCCUGCUAGGUGUCGUGUCCUGCUAGGUGUCGUGUCCUGCUAGGUGUCGUGUCCUGCUAGGUGUCGUGUCCUGCUAGGUGUCGUGUCCUGCUAGGUGUCGUGUCCUGCUAGGUGUCGUGUCCUGCUAGGUGUCGUGUCCUGCUAGGCGUCGUGUCCUGCUAGGCGUCGUGUCCUGCUAGGCGUCG
Oncorhynchus tshawytscha (Chinook salmon) is the source of this 609-nucleotide long non-coding RNA. Lineage: Eukaryota; Metazoa; Chordata; Actinopteri; Salmoniformes; Salmonidae. The record is from Ensembl.